Long non-coding RNA from Salvia hispanica, 787 nucleotides. RefSeq lists it as uncharacterized. The record is from RefSeq and is a predicted model, not a curated record. NCBI's taxonomy places the organism in Eukaryota, Viridiplantae, Streptophyta, Magnoliopsida, Lamiales, Lamiaceae.
UUCAAUUCCUCUCUCUCACAAAAAAUACAUCACUAAAUCAACAAACCCUACAGACUAGAAUCAAAAUCCCCCAAAUCGUCUUUGCGUCAAAAUCACCCAAACCCUACUAAACUCAAACUAUAUUUUCGGCGACGAAGGAAUCUUCUGGGCAUCAAAAUUGACUUUAAACCCAUACUUGACAAGCACGAUUUGUAGAGCGUCUUCUUCAACCAUGGUGGACACAAGAUCUUCUGGAACCGCGACACAUGAUGGAAAAGAAUUCAAUUCCAUUGGUUGGCUGUAACCUAGUCCAUGCACAAAAUAUUGGGAAUAAGAAGGCACCGGUAAAACCUAAAGAUCAGAAAGAAAUCUCUGCAAAAAGUGAAAAAGGGGUAGCAAAUGCAAGAGAUGUUACUAAUUCUGGAAAAGCGAAUUUGGAGGCAAAAGUGGGCAAAGAUAAUUGAUUGUAACGUUAUGUCAUACUAAUACGAUUCUGAAAUCGACGAGGAGGGUGAUCCAAAAGCCUACUUCAAAAAUGGUCGACACUCGAGUUUCUGGAUCGGCGAGGCCUGACGGAAAGGUGUAUCAGAGAACGACGUGAAGAAGAUACCGCCGAUCCCAAAAGUACCGAAAGGAUGUUUAGAAUACCACUAUUUUAAUGAAACGAUGUUUAGAGCUUGUAAUUCUCUUUUUUAUAUCAUGUUUAUAUGUCGGCUGGAUGUCAUUGUUACUAUAUAUUAUUUCAUCUGUAAGAUGAGAUAAACUUCCAUUACAAUGACCUUGGAAUGCUUUCCUCUUGUUUCUUGUA